Molecule: long non-coding RNA, 3749 nt
Filed under: Anthonomus grandis grandis
Lineage: Eukaryota; Metazoa; Arthropoda; Insecta; Coleoptera; Curculionidae
Description: uncharacterized LOC126734051
Source: RNAcentral
UUAUUGUUUAUUAAUGCUUACAAAAAGAAAAACACUUACAUAGGUCAUUAUAUUUCGUCCUCGUUUCGUAAAUAAGAUAACAACGUAGUCUCUCUAUUCAUACCAAACACCACAAUUUUUAAAGUAAACAAUCUGCCCGCUCCGGUCCUAUGCAUUUCUAGGAUGGUCCCCAUGCCCAUUGAAUUCAUUCUUUGUUUUCGUGCCGUACAUUGCGUAUCGUUACAAGUGAGUUCAAAUUUGUAUUUUCCAUUUUUUUCACAAUUAGUUUCUUUUUAAUGUGUAACUAUAGUUGGCGUAAGUCAUAUUAAGGACUCAAAAGAUACGUUAUCCUAGUGUAGACCCUGAUAUCCGCUAUACCGGACUGCAUAUUUUGAAACACAGGACGUCAGGGGCAUACGGUUGAAACAAGUGCUUUAUCAUUGGUCAGGUGAUUUAUGGGCGUUGCGUUCGUUUUAAAUAUUCUAGAAGAAGAAGACAUAAUCUAACCUCAAAUUCAAUGAUUGUUGAUUUUGGCGUUUGAUGAAGUUUGAUCGUUAUUCGUUUGAUUAUUUGAUUAUUAUUGCUAGUCGUUUGAUCGUUUCGUUGUUGUUGGGUUGUCUUUGAGAGGGAUAUCUUAAAAUUUAGUGAGGAAAAUGGCUAUGAAUGUCGUGUACAAGCUGAAAAUGAAAAAAAGAAGGAAAUAAUUAUGCGUAUUAACUUAACCACUCCACAAGAUGCUGAUAAAUAUCUAUCAGCAUACAAAUUGUAUUCAGGGACAAACUGGAUUCGAAAUGGGGAGUUAAAAGAUCCGCAAAGAGUUGUGUAUCAUAAAUAUUAUGUGUGCCAAUAUAGUUCAAUAAAUAAGAAAAGAAGUUGUACCAAGAGUGAAAUGAAUACAGGAUGUGUUGCAACAAUAGAUGUUAAAAUUUAAAAAAUUACAACUAAAACAAAAAGAAAUGAUGAAUACCUAAAGUUAGAUAUUCCUUUAUGUGGUAUUAUAAAUUUUAAUUUAAAUCAUAACCAUAAUCUUGGCACAAGUGGUAGUUUGAAAUUUAUGAAGCUUUCUGAAGAGACUAAAAAGAUGUUUGAAGGAUAUUUUGAGAAUGGAAUGAGCCCUGCCGAAAGUUUGUUAUUAUUGGAAAAAAAUGGCAGAUGUCUCUCUAAAUCCUACUAAAAAUGCACUUUAUUACCUUCAUAAAAAAUGGACUUUAAGGCAUCUUGGACAGGUAUUUGAGCCAAUACCAAAACUUCAAGAAAAAAAAAGUUUUUUCAUUAAUCAGGAAUAAAUAUUGAAAUUGCAACAGACCCGUGGGCAGUAUUGGUAGUUACGCCAAUCAUGAAAAGAGCACAGGAACUGCAGUCCUCCAAGGAACUGAUAUUUUGCGACAGUACAUCAAGUUGAGACACCAGUGAGACCACAGUUACUGUGUUACUAACAGCUGGUGCCAUUCCCAUUGCGAUACGUUUGCAUGAUGGGCAAACUACUGAAAGUUAUGAACAAGCCUAUGGAUUGCUAAACAGACAUUUCCAAACUCUUUUGGAGGGAAUUUUGUAAGUAAAUUAUUAAAUAGUAAUUUAACUUUAUAUUUUUUAAUUUGGCUUCUAUGACAUUUUAACCUUUUAAAAUUAAAAACCACAAAGAUACCUACAUACAUGACAAUUUACGCUUACUGAAUUAGAUCAAAUUUAAAUGUAAUUAAGGGAAGGAAUCUCUCUUAACACAUGUAUGUACGCCUUUUUUAUGAAUAGCUGUACCACCCAUAAUACUCUAAAAGAAUAGUUAGAAACUAGGCAAAAAUUACUUGUAUUUAAAUAGAAUAUUUUUAAAUACACUAUGUGAUAAUGAUAAUAUUAUAAACAUAUAUUUAUUUUUAGCUAAUUAUUUUCACUAAAAAAACAACACAAAUGAAUCUUUUGUAAGUACAUUGUAUGUUGAUUUAUUCAUAUGGGGUUAUGGUUUAAUAUUUUGGUGUAUUAGUUUUUUUAAUUAAUUAUUAUAUUGGUGGUUAUGGUUUUAUGUUGUUUCUUCUAGGUAUUGGUUAAUAAUAGAUAAUAGAUAUAAUAGAGCCUAUAUGUUUUAUGACAGACGACUCCAAAUCUGAAAAGACAGCUCUUAAAAAUACAUUUCCAAAUUCUACUCAGCUACUGUGUUUUUUUCACGUGCUUCAAAAAGAAUGGCGAUGGCUUUGUGAAAACAAAAAUAAGAUUUCCAUGGAAAAGCGUCAAAUCUUAAUGCAUUCGUUUCGUAAGGUAUAAUAUAAGAGUAUUACACAAUGUAAAUAAAUUAUGUUAAUACAUUUAUUUUAUAAUGCUUACGCUAUAGUGCUCAUUUUUUAACUAUUUUUAUUUUUUUUUUUACUUACUUACUUCAUUUUAUUUAUUGUUAAUAAGAAAUUUACAUAUUUCUAUAAUUCUAUCAAUUGUUUACGUAUAUUUAAAUAUAUUAGGCAUAAAUGGCAAUAAAAAGCAUUAGGUAUAUUAAGAAACAUUAUAAAAAGUCCGAAAAAUAAAUGGAAUGCACAUUGAUAUAGCGUUGCUUUUUUUUAGAUUAUGUAUUCUGAAAGUAAUGAAGAUCUAAAUGAACACAUGUUAAAGCUGCAGAAAGAAGCGGAGGAUUGUCCAAACUUUUGGGCAAGAUUUGAAAUUUAUUUUUCUAGAGGACAAGAGUGGUUGUAUCUUCACAGGAAACAUUGGGUCAUAAGAGGGAACAAUAAAAACAAUUACGCAGAAGUAACCAUCAAAAUACUUAAGGACAUUAUUCUUCAUCGUACAAAAGGUUACAAUUGUGUAGCAUUAGUUGAUUUCAUUGCUUUUGUCUGGGAGGAGUAUUUUAAAUGCAAGUUAUUAGAUUUUGCCCAUGGAAGAAGAAACGAAAUAAAAAAUAAUUACUUAAAGCUAUGUUCAAAAGUGAAUUAUUUUAAACUGGAAGAUAUUGUAACUUUGGGAGAUGGAUUGUAUCAAAUUAGUAGUAGUUCUAAUAUCUUUUUAAAAUACAUUAUUGACGUGCCAAUUGGUGUAUGCAGUUGUCCUGCAGGCAUAAAUGGGUCAUUUUGUAAGCACCAAGCUUACCUACAUAAACAUUUAAAUAUUCCAUUUUUGAAUGAUCCCUGCUAUUAAUUUUCAAGAAAGAGCAUCACUUGGGCGGCUAGCUCUUGGCGAGAAAUGGCCCGAAUCCAAAUGGUUUUUGGCCCUAAGUGAGUUUUCAGAAAAUGCAGAUAAUAUACAAGAUUGUGGUUAUCAAGAAAACUAUCUCGAAACUAGAAUCGAUGCACCAUCUUCAUUAUUUGACGAGACAAUAAUGGAGAUUGAUGACACGUUGGAAGAUGACAACAAAAAGGAAGAUGUAAUUGAAGAAAUUAAAGAAGAAUGUAAAAAAUUUGAUAAAAUGCUUAAGGAAAUACCUUUAAAAGCAUUAGAAAGACUUGCAAACAAACUAAAAAGAAUACAAACUGCGCCGCAGCUAUAUUCUUUCAUAGACAGUAAAGUUUCUAGGGUCAAAAGCAACUCAAAAAUAAAAGUCCAGCCAACAACUGCUUUUCGAAGACGGCCUGGAGCCACUCGUGGAGGUUCAAGAAUCCCUUCAGGAAGACCACCUUGUGGCAAACGUAGUAGCCAAAAUGCUGUCAAAGGUAGUGGUAAAAGUAGUGGAAAACGAAAACAUAACAUAAGUUUAAAUAUAUCUUUAAAUCAACGAAACGCAAUUAUCCAUGGUCGCGCGCAUUAAAUACAUAAUAUGUACAAAAGUAAUAAAAAAUAUUGUUUAGAUUUUU